Molecule: ribosomal RNA, 492 nt
Filed under: uncultured bacterium
Lineage: Bacteria
Description: partial 16S ribosomal RNA
Rfam family: Bacterial small subunit ribosomal RNA
Source: RNAcentral
AGUGAACGCUGGCGGUAGGCCUAACACAUGCAAGUCGAACGGCAGCACAGUAAGAGCUUGCUCUUACGGGUGGUGAGUGGCGGACGGGUGAGGAAUACAUCGGAAUCUACUUUUUCGUGGGGGAUAACGUAGGGAAACUUACGCUAAUACCGCAUACGACCUACGGGUGAAAGCAAGGGAUCUUCGGACCUUGCGCGAUUGAAUGAGCCGAUGUCGGAUUAGCUAGUUGGCGGGGUAAAGGCCCACCAAGGCGACGAUCCGUAGCUGGUCUGAGAGGAUGAUCAGCCACACUGGAACUGAGACACGGUCCAGACUCCUACGGGAGGCAGCAGUGGGGAAUAUUGGACAAUGGGCGCAAGCCUGAUCCAGCCAUACCGCGUGGGUGAAGAAGGCCUUCGGGUUGUAAAGCCCUUUUGUUGGGAAAGAAAAGCAGCAGGUUAAUACCCCGCUGUUCUGACGGUACCCAAAGAAUAAGCACCGGCUAACUUCGUG